This 253-nucleotide ribosomal RNA is filed under the name uncultured bacterium. RNAcentral's name for it is "partial 16S ribosomal RNA". It matches the Rfam family "Bacterial small subunit ribosomal RNA", at positions 524 to 776 of the family's 1533-position model. The record is from RNAcentral.
UACGAAGGGUCCAAGCGUUGUUCGGAAUUACUGGGCGUAAAGGGUUCGUAGGUGGCCACUUAAGUCAGACGUGAAAUCCCUCAGCUUAACUGGGGAACUGCGUCUGAUACUGGGUGGCUUGAGUGCAGGAGAGGAAUGCGGAAUUCCAGGUGUAGCGGUGAAAUGCGUAGAUAUCUGGAGAAACACCGGUGGCGAAGGCGGCAUUCUGGACUGUAACUGACACUGAGGAACGAAAGCCAGGGGAGCAAACGGG